Molecule: ribosomal RNA, 115 nt
Filed under: uncultured Cortinarius
Lineage: Eukaryota; Fungi; Basidiomycota; Agaricomycetes; Agaricales; Cortinariaceae
Description: partial 28S ribosomal RNA
Rfam family: Eukaryotic large subunit ribosomal RNA
Source: RNAcentral
GUGACCUCAAAUCAGGUAGGACUACCCGCUGAACUUAAGCAUAUCAAUAAGCGGAGGAAAAGAAACUAACAAGGAUUCCCUAGUAACUGCGAGUGAAGCGGGAAAAGCUCAAAUU